Molecule: long non-coding RNA, 1684 nt
Organism: Bos indicus x Bos taurus (hybrid cattle)
Lineage: Eukaryota; Metazoa; Chordata; Mammalia; Artiodactyla; Bovidae
Source: Ensembl
AAGACUGUUGGGGAUGUGGCCACACCAGACAUUGGCAGCUCUGAGCAGGAGGGCUAUCUGAAGCUGCAAUGAUUUUAAAAUAUGUAAAAGUUCUGAAAAUCUGCAAUCAGGACUUGCGUCUGUGCAGGAAAAUGUGUAUUUCUUUCUCUUUUUUUUGGCUUCAGUGAGGAGCUCAGGGAAUCCAUGGUGUCUGCACGUCCAUAUCCCCUCAUUUAAGCCAGACCAACCUGAGGGCUAAACGCAUUCUCUUUCCCGGUAUUUAUUUAUUUAUUUUUCUGCGCAAGAAAUGCUUUUCUUCAGCUCAACAGAACAUGGAAGUCUGAAAAAAACCUUACCUUCUACAGAGGAUGUGAGCUGGCCCACGGCCAGCGGCCGGCCUGCACCCUUGUAAACACCUCCCUUUCCCGUCAGGGCCCAGAGAUAAGCCAUUCAGGAUUCUGCCUGGACGGCUGGUACCCCUUCCAUCUGCUAGAGAGGGAGGCCCCGUACCAGCCGUGGGGCCUGCCCCCUGCCCUGGCCCCAGGAGGCAGCUCCGAUGAAAGCGCGUGUCUGUUGCCAGGCCUGGUGCGGAAUGUUCCGUACGUGUUGCCCAAGGAGAACCUUUCACAUUUUUUCACUUUCCAGACUGCGGGCCGGGAAUCAGCCCACCAGGAUGCCAUCCUCCUGAGGACUUGUGGGAAAUGAGCGAAACAGAAGAACCACAGAGCCAAGCUCAGGUGCAUGUUAUGAGCUUUCCAUCUGGCUCGGAGACAAGGCUGAGGGCAUCCCUGCCAUCAGGUGACACAGCCCCAAGUGCCUGAUGGGGUACACGGUCCAGGGCAUCCAGGCAGGGAGCAGGGUGGGGAUGUCCACCUGGUACUCCAGGAGGGGCUCCUGCCCCCUGCCUCUGCCUGCCAGCCCAGACCAACCCCCAUCCCAGGGGGUGUACCACCUCAUCUGCAGUGAAAACUCAGGUGCAGGCUCCCUGGGCAGGGCAGGGCAGCUCAGCGAUUUACAUGACAACUAAUAUUAGAUCUUUUCCGAAAGCUUAGUUUAAUGAGAGGAGAGAGAAGUCAGUGUGUGGGUUUUUGAACCUGGGAAGUGUGUUAAGAACUUUGGAGGGACAAAGAAAAAGGCCCUGGGCAGGGACAGAGUGAGUUAGUAAAUUGUGAUAGUCUUGCAACUGGCCAAACAGAGAAUUCCAACAACAAUAAUAGUUAACAUUUGAGGGUUUACCGUGCGCUGGCGACACGCAGUGGCUCAUCUGACAACUUUGUUAGAACCUCUGGGACAGCUGUGCUGAGUGGGCUCCAUGACCAGCCUUCUUAUAAAUGAGGACCCGAGGCACAGAGAGGCUCACUCACUUGUCCCGCAUCACACAGCUAGUUAGCAGAGGAACUGGUUCCAACUCUCUGUCUCUGCCCUUUGCCACAACAUCACCCCUUCUCUGCCCGAUGUCCAUUAGCCUCAGCACCGCCUCAUUGGAUGUGCCUGAUUCACCUCUUUGGUCAUUGCCUUCAUGAAAAGGACCAUUUGCUUACCCCCACACCCCGACCCCAGAAGAGACAGCCAAGGGCUGUGAAGACAUGUGUCUGUCCCCAGUGCCUUAGAAAGGGCACAGGAGAUCCAGAGGCCAGAGGACUCACUGUCAGCACUCCAGGGAACUGAAUGACACCUCAAGCUGGUCACUGGUCUUCUCUGAACU